GACGAACGCUGGCGGCGUGCUUAACACAUGCAAGUCGAACGGAAAGGCCUGCUUUCCCUUGUGGAUUGCGGGUACUCGAGUGGCGAACGGGUGAGUAACACGUGAGUGAUCUGCCCCCAACUUGGGUAUAAGCCUGGGAAACUGGGUCUAAUUCCCGAUAGGACUGCAGGGUGGUGCCUGUGGUGGAAAACGAUUUUCUAGUGGUUGGGGAUGAGCUCGCGGCCUAUCAGCUUGUUGGUGGGGUAAUGGCCUACCAAGGCGGCGACGGGUAGCCGGCCUGAGAGGGUGGACGGCCGAAUUGGGACUGGGAUACGGCCCAGACGCCUACGGGAAGCAGCAGUGGGGAAUAUUGCACAAUGGGCGGGAGCCUGAUGCAGCGACGCCGCGUGGGAGAUGACGGCCUUCGGGUUGUAAACUCCUUUCGACCGCGAGGAAGCCACCUGGUUGGAAGGGUGGUGACGGUAGUGGUAGAAGAAGCACCGGCUAACUACGUG
RNAcentral lists this ribosomal RNA (494 nucleotides) under uncultured bacterium. RNAcentral's name for it is "partial 16S ribosomal RNA". It matches the Rfam family "Bacterial small subunit ribosomal RNA", at positions 28 to 507 of the family's 1533-position model. The record is from RNAcentral.